Molecule: long non-coding RNA, 262 nt
Filed under: Ananas comosus (pineapple)
Lineage: Eukaryota; Viridiplantae; Streptophyta; Magnoliopsida; Poales; Bromeliaceae
Description: long non-coding RNA (ACOM_LNC021356)
Source: RNAcentral
GUCAAACAGACGCCGAACGGACAGAGUUUCCCCUGUCCGCCCAAGGCUCAUCACAUGUACAUUUUCAUCAAUAGAGAAAAACACUAGCGGAAACAUGCACAAACGGCUUUCACGAGGGUAAGCAAUAGCCAUUAGUGAAAGAAAGGAAAACUAAGCAUCUACACAAGUAAUAUGAUUCAUUUUAGAUCACAUACAUUGCAUCCAUCUCUUACAUUUAGGAUUCUUUGCAUUUCAUUACAUCAUUUCAUCAUUUCUUUCUUAC